UAGGGAAUCUUCGGCAAUGGACGAAAGUCUGACCGAGCAACGCCGCGUGAGUGAAGAAGGUUUUCGGAUCGUAAAACUCUGUUGUUAGAGAAGAACAAGGACGUUAGUAACUGAACGUCCCCUGACGGUAUCUAACCAGAAAGCCACGGCUAACUACGUGCCAGCAGCCGCGGUAAUACGUAGGUGGCAAGCGUUGUCCGGAUUUAUUGGGCGUAAAGCGAGCGCAGGCGGUUUCUUAAGUCUGAUGUGAAAGCCCCCGGCUCAACCGGGGAGGGUCAUUGGGAACUGGGAGACUUGAGUGCAGAAGAGGAGAGUGGAAUUCCAUGUGUAGCGGUGAAAUGCGUAGAUAUAUGGAGGAACACCAGUGGCGAAGGCGGCUCUCUGGUCUGGAACUGACGCUGAGGCACGAAAGCGUGGGGAGCAAACAGG
Molecule: ribosomal RNA, 429 nt
Filed under: Gemmatimonadota bacterium
Lineage: Bacteria; Pseudomonadati; Gemmatimonadota
Description: Gemmatimonadetes bacterium partial 16S ribosomal RNA
Rfam family: Bacterial small subunit ribosomal RNA
Source: RNAcentral